UUAUAAUACAAAAAAAUAUGGUUAGAAUUGAUUCUACUCAUUUUGUUCCGCUAACUCGUAAGAUGUCGGAUAUUCGCACAUUGUAAUGUCCAUUCAGUUGUAAAGACGGAACUAAUUAUCCGAUCGGAGGGAACAUUGAUAUAAUCGAUAAGCGCGCCGUAUGUAAUUAUAUAGAAUGUUAAAAAUAUCACGCUUUAUUUUACAUUACGUACACCCUGCUCGUUACCAACCGAACGCAUUAUUGUACGCAUUAUUGUACGCAUUAUUGUAUGCGCAGUUUUCGUUCGUACGAAGCCGUGAGAGUGUGAUCAUGUGGGAAAUAUUUUGCAGUUCUCCGUUCGAAAGAGAGUUUCGCGGUUCCGCCGAUAAACGCGAGAUUUUCGAGAGGAAGAAGUCGAGCGAGACGCGGCGGCAAAUCGAUAGAGGAAACGCACGAUGAGACGUAUGAUGAGGGAGAACGUGCCGGCGAUGGUGUAACCUCGUGGCUCGUGGGUCACUGGACAUAAAAAGAGCAGAGGGAAGCUGGAAGAGACAUCUUGUCCGUGGGCUUUCGACAAUUUAAGCGGCGGCAGGAUCAAAGGUCAUGGCAACGCCGCCGGACUCGCCGGGACCGGAAGAGGCGUUCUUCGACUUCGAGAGCACGAGGGCGAGACAACAGACCACCAGACCGGUACCUAUAGAGGAACUUCUGCGACAGACCAAGUUCUCCCGCCAGGAGAUCCGAGUCAUGUACCGAGGCUUCAAGCAGGAGUGUCCCGAGGGAGUAGUGCACGAGGACUCGUUCAAGGACAUUUACGCGAAAUUCUUCCCGCACGGCAACUCCAGUCUCUACGCCCACUACGUGUUCAAGGCCUUCGACGUUAAUUGCAACGGGGCCAUCAGCUUCAGGGACCUUCUGGUAACGCUGUCGACCCUACUGCGGGGUAGCAUUUAUGAGAAACUGAGGUGGACCUUCAAGCUGUACGACAUAAAUGGCGAUGGUUGCAUCACUAGGGGCGAAUUGGGCGAAGUUGUGACAGCAGUCCACGAGCUCAUGGGCAGACGGCAUCACGCCGAGGAGGAAAGGAAAGCGAGAGAACAGCUGGACAGGGUCUUCAAGAAACUCGAUCUCAACCAGGACGGUGUUAUCACGAUCGAGGAGUUUAUCGAGAGUUGUUUGAAGGACGAUGUGAUCACACGGUCGCUGGCGAUGUUCGACUGCGCGCUUUGAUCUCCGGCUAAAGACGAGCCUCCAGCAGCGGUCACCGCGACGCCGCCGACGCCGCUCUCGACGACAACGUUCUCACAAUCCUUAUCCCCGUCGCCGCCGCCGCCGUCCUAUUCCCUGUUGCCGCCUAUCCCGCCACCUCUGCCCUCUCAGCCGCCACCUGGUUACACCGUCCAGGAUCAGGAGCUCUACCUACUCCUGGCUGCCCACUGGUGGAACCAACCAGAGGCGCCGCUUUUUUGUUGAAGGGCAAUGCGAUAAUACGGCUCCUAGCAACGUAGAAUAGCAAUCGAGCAAUUCUAAAUCUGUAGAAUCGAAGAGCGGAUUUUCCAGCAUCUUGUUGCCUCUUCGUUUUCUGCAAAACGUUACGCAAGCAGUACGAGGAUACAUUGUAAGAUGUUCUUGAUCUCGUCGAACGGAACUUAGCAAAGACUCCAUUGCCAUUUCGAUAACAACACAUGGAAAACGAAGAGACCGUUUCAUCUACAUGGACAUGAUCCCGUGACGAUCGCCGGAUAUUUUGGCAAUCAUGGAAACGACAAUUGGCGUCGAUCUCUGGCAAGAUUUUAGCGAAGUUACAAGAACUUGAUUUAAGGUCAAACUGUAUAUUAAUACUCGAAAUAGGUACCUGGCGUAGCUCCUAUAUUAUGAUCUCUCGCGCUUUGUGAAGCAUAGUGUCUAAGAAAAGGACGCCUUCGAAAGUGAAAAGAUGCUGAUCGAGGUUCGAAUAAGAUACGAUCGAUUUCCCUUUCUACGAUUCGUCGCGAGAAGAUUCAGUGAUCAAAGAACCCUUCGUAUCACGAAUUUGUGCCAAAUUUAUGGGAUUUUCAGACGACGACGACGACGACGACGAUGAUGAAGGAACGGGAGAAACAGCGGGGAAGGUGCUAUAUGCGUGGCUGUGAGAUGGAAAUUACAACACAAGAACAAGGAUUUUAAAUUAGUAAAAAAAAAAAAAAGAAAAUA
Acromyrmex echinatior (Panamanian leafcutter ant) is the source of this 2173-nucleotide unclassified non-coding RNA. The record is from RefSeq and is a predicted model, not a curated record. NCBI's taxonomy places the organism in Eukaryota, Metazoa, Arthropoda, Insecta, Hymenoptera, Formicidae.